GUGGGGAAUAUUGGACAAUGGGCGAAAGCCUGAUCCAGCAAUGCCGCGUGCAGGAAGAAGGCCUUCGGGUUGUAAACUGCUUUUGUACGGAACGAAACGGUCCGGGUUAAUACCCUGGGCUAAUGACGGUACCGUAAGAAUAAGCACCGGCUAACUACGUGCCAGCAGCCGCGGUAAUACGUAGGGUGCAAGCGUUAAUCGGAAUUACUGGGCGUAAAGCGUGCGCAGGCGGUUUUGUAAGACAGGCGUGAAAUCCCCGGGCUCAACCUGGGAAUUGCGCUUGUGACUGCAAGGCUGGAGUGCGGCAGAGGGGGAUGGAAUUCCGCGUGUAGCAGUGAAAUGCGUAGAUAUGCGGAGGAACACCGAUGGCGAAGGCAAUCCCCUGGGCCUGCACUGACGCUCAUGCACGAAAGCGUGGGGAGCAAACAGGAUUAGAUACCCUAGUAGUCC
RNAcentral lists this ribosomal RNA (450 nucleotides) under uncultured bacterium. RNAcentral's name for it is "bacterial SSU rRNA". It matches the Rfam family "Bacterial small subunit ribosomal RNA", at positions 354 to 796 of the family's 1533-position model. The record is from RNAcentral.